Molecule: long non-coding RNA, 1605 nt
Filed under: Panax ginseng (ginseng)
Lineage: Eukaryota; Viridiplantae; Streptophyta; Magnoliopsida; Apiales; Araliaceae
Description: long non-coding RNA (PGIN_LNC016083)
Source: RNAcentral
GGAUAUGUAUUUAAUAUUGCGAUUCAAACCCAUUUCAUCCCUGCGAUUCUUCAUUCCCAUUUCAACUGCUAUUCUUCAAACCUUCUUCAUUCCCAUUUCAACUGCUAUUCUUCAAACCCAUUUCAAACGCAUGCGAAUGAGCAGCAAUUUCAGAUCCGCUACCCCCUGCGACUGUCAUCCCUGCGAUUCUUCAAACCCAUUUCAAACGCAUGAGAAUGAGCAGCAAUUUCAGAUUCGCUACCCCUGCGACAGCCCUGCGACUGUUGUCCCCCCUGCGAUUGAACAAUCAAUUUGAUGGAGUUGUCAAUACCCUUACAGGAAUAGCUAAGAAUCAGGUCGCCAUGAACCCGACCAACACUCUUUUUGGUAUGUUCUAAACCAUCUCUGAUUUUAGCACCAGUCAUGUUUUUAUUUUUUAAACUGGUGGCUGGGGAAUUGAGUUCAUGUUUGGAUUUAUAUUCAGUAUAUUCUUAUACUCAUUUAAAUUUUGGCUUCCAUAGAAGAUAUUAUUGUAUUAGAUGUAUGUUUGAAUUUUGUGAAUUAAUUUUUUUGGGGUUUUAAUGGUGAAUUCAGUUAAAGGUGCUAGUCUUGUGGAUUUAAAUUUCCUUUUAAGGAAUAUCUUUAAUUUUGUAAUAAAUCAGGGACUAUAACUGGAGAUUUAUUCACCAUAACGUGUGUAGUUUUGAAAAUAGGGACCUUAUACGUUAUAUGAUCUGUAGUCUUAAUGUGUAAGAACUAAGUUUAGGUUCGAUUUUUUAAAUUUUGCUUUAGAUCCAUGAUGCUAUGUUCUGUUUCUUUUGUUUAUAUUGUUGUUUUUUUGAAUUUGUAAGAAUUAAGUUUUUAUGAUUUUUUCGUUUGCUGUUUCAGAUUCAUGAUGCUAUGCUCUGUUUAAAUUGUUGUACUCAUACUUGACUAAAAGCCCUAAAAAGAGUUCCAAUUUAUAAUUAGUGUCCAAUUUGUGUGUGGUAUGUCUGUUUUUAUAUUGGGUUUAUGAUCUAAUUUAAUUGUGCCUUUUUCAGAUGCUAAGCGGUUGAUUGGUAGGAGAUCUGGUUCAGCUUUCUCAUAAAGUGAUAUCAAUCUAAUUUUAAGAAUUGAUUCUAGAUUUAGGUGUUAUGUUGCCCAACAUUUGUAACUAUGCUCUGAUUAUUCUAUAUCUUUUGUUGAUUAGGGGCUUGACUCCAAGAUUGGUAAUGUAUAUGACCCAAGGAGCACUCUUCUUUGCAUCAUAUGAAUCUUUCGAGAAGUUACUUUAACUAGAGUCCCAACCUCCACGUAGUGCUCAAACAAUCCAAUAUGAACCAAACAUGAAAGACGAUUCUACAGAUUAGCCAAAAGCAUGAGUGUUCCAACACAUUUUUUUAGGCUUCGGAUCUCACUUGUAAUUCUGUUGUAUCAUUAGCAAUGUUUGUACCUAUUAUCUGACUCACUUGUAAUUCUGUUGUAUCAGUAACAAUUUUUUUGAGAGGAUAUUUAAAAGAAAUUAUCAAGAAUAAAUAUGAUAAUAAUAUAAGGCUUGUAUUUUUUUACUCAUGUGAGUUUUAUUAUUUUACCCUGAAGACUAUCUCAUAUUUUAUUUCCUUCUUUGAUUUGGAUAUUGAUUCCUUU